AUUANGUAAAAUGACUCUCGGCAACGGAUAUCUCGGCUCUUGCAUCGAUGAAGAACGUAGCGAAAUGCGAUACUUGGUGUGAAUUGCAGAAUCCCGUGAACCAUCGAGUCUUUGAACGCAAGUUGCGCCCAAAGCCAUUAGGUUGAGGGCACGCCUGCCUGGGUGUCACAC
This 171-nucleotide ribosomal RNA is filed under the name Strophostyles helvola. Its description in RNAcentral is "5.8S ribosomal RNA". It matches the Rfam family "5.8S ribosomal RNA". Rfam says of the family: 5.8S ribosomal RNA (5.8S rRNA) is a component of the large subunit of the eukaryotic ribosome. It is transcribed by RNA polymerase I as part of the 45S precursor that also contains 18S and 28S rRNA. The record is from RNAcentral. Lineage: Eukaryota; Viridiplantae; Streptophyta; Magnoliopsida; Fabales; Fabaceae.